AUCACACAACAUACCCGAGUCAUGAACCUCAUCUCAGUCGUCUCUCCCCCAACGCUCAAGUGUCAAGUCACUGAGCCACCAAAAUGCUCGUGUCACCCAGACUACCUUCUCUGAGCUCGCUCUUCUCUCCCUCCAUCUCCGGCCGUUAUCCGGCGGUGCUCCUGCGACGCUACCACCGCUGGUUCCCGGUAUUCGCAGCCGGUUUCUCCGCUCAGAGCACGGUGUCGGUGUCCAACGAGGACGCAGUCCAUACUCAAAAGAGUAACCGAGUCCAGGACCGAGGUGUUACACCUCGGUCACAGGACUUCAAUGCUUGGUACCUUGAUGUCAUUGAACAAGCUGAGCUCGCCGAUUAUGGUCCGGUUCGCGGAACCAUGGUCAUUCGUCCCUACGGUUACGCCAUUUGGGAAGCCAUUCAGGAUUAUCUGAAUAUGAAAUUCAAGGAGACUGGUCACAGUAACAUGUAUUUCCCACAGUUUAUACCAUACUCGUUUAUAGAGAAAGAAGCUAGCCAUGUUGAAGGUUUUAGUCCUGAGUUAGCACUUGUGACGAUAGGAGGAGGGAAGGACCUUGAAGAGAAACUUGUGUGGGCAAAUGUCACGAGAUGGGAGAUGCGGACAAAACCUUUUGUGAGGACUCUCGAAUUUCUCUGGCAGGAGGGACACACAGCUCAUGCCACUCUAGAGGAGGCAGAAAAAGAGGCUAUACAGAUGAUUGAUGUGUAUACAAAAUUUGCUUAUGAGCAAGCUGCAAUACCUGUUAUUGCAGGUCGAAAGUCAAAAGUGGAAACAUUUGCUGGUGCUGUUAGGACCUACACAAUAGAGGCUAUGAUGGGUGAUCGAAAGGCAUUACAGGCUGGAACCAGCCACAAUCUUGGGCAGAAUUUUUCUCGUGCAUUUGAAACACAGUUUACUGAUGAAAGUGGAAAGAGGCAACAUGUGUGGCAGACUUCAUGGCUGUCAGUACCCGUUUUGUUGGCGGUAUUAUUAUGACCCAUGGAGAUGAUACAGGGUUAAUGCUUCCCCCAAAGAUUGCACCGAUACAGGUGGUAACCAAACCAAUUUGGAAGAAGGGUGAUGAUAGAGCAGGAGUUCUCAAUGCUGCAUCAUCUGUGAAAGAAGCACUGCAGGCUGCAGGAAUUAAAGUUAAACUUGAUGACUCUGAUCAGAGAAGCCCAGGAUGGAAAUUCAAUUUCUGGGAGAUGAAGGGAGUUCCUUUGAGGAUUGAAAUUGGUCCUCGUGAUGUUUCAAGUGGGAGUGUGGUUGUAUCUAGAAGAGAUGUUCCUGGAAAGCAAGGGAAAGUUUUUGGAAUAUCCAUGGAGCCUUCAAAUUUGGAGGCUUAUGUGAUGGACAAGUUGGAUGAGAUCCAAUCAUCUCUUUUGAGACAAGCAGAAUCAUUUCGAGAUAGCAAUAUUCUGGAUGUUAGCUCAUAUGAUGAACUCAAAGUUGCAAUCUCCCAGGGCAAAUGGGCAAGAGGUCCUUGGUCCGCCAGUAAUGAAGAUGAGUUAAAAGUAAAAGAGGAAACCGGGGCAACCAUCAGAUGUUUUCCUUUUGAACAGCCGCUGGGGAUUAAAAGAUGCUUGAUGACUGGUAAUCCUGCAGAGGAAGUUGCCAUUUUCGCAAAGUCAUACUAAGUUUCCAGGUUUCCCUCGGAUCACAACAUCCAACCGGUAUCGUUACUACUCAGUCUGUGUUUUGUCAAACUUUCUUUCAAUAGACUAUAGAAGAUUGGACCAAACGAUGUCGCAUACAUCUAUAAAUUGUCAAAAGUGGUUCAUUUGCUAAAUUCCUUGAUUCUUCUCCUCUUUGGAGGAGGAUGAUUGAGAUGUAUUGUUAUAGUUUUUAGGUCAUCAAGAAAGUAUUGUUGUUUAUAACAAAUAAGAAAGUAUUGUUGUUCGGUGGUACGUGCCCAUUUUAAUUCUCCAGAAA
Molecule: non-coding RNA, 1928 nt
Organism: Prunus avium (sweet cherry)
Lineage: Eukaryota; Viridiplantae; Streptophyta; Magnoliopsida; Rosales; Rosaceae
Source: RefSeq, a predicted model, not a curated record